Zea mays is the source of this 1376-nucleotide RNA transcript. RefSeq lists it as uncharacterized. NCBI's taxonomy places the organism in Eukaryota, Viridiplantae, Streptophyta, Magnoliopsida, Poales, Poaceae. The record is from RefSeq and is marked validated. The transcript has 11 exons.
AAGAUUAAAAAAAAUCUGGGUUGGAAACUAGCUGUCGCCCCCUAAAUUCGAUUUGAUACGUGGCGCACCCCAAGCUGCAACACGUUCUGUCGUUCUCGCUUGAGGCGGCCCGCGGCCUUCUCGAAGCCCUCCGCUCGCUCCGUGCUCGUGGCUCCCGCACGAUCCCCACAUUCCUUGGCCGGCUCCGCGCUCGUGCUCUCGUUGGGAUCGUUGUCAGUUCAGGUACGGUGGCGAUGAGGUCGUCCGUGGCCCGCCUGAUUCGCUCCUCCUCUGCCUCGCCCUCCCGUCUCAGUGGAAAUGCAUUCUUCGGCAAUGCCACACCCAGUGAUCAGAGGCACAUUGAGAAGCCUUUUAAAGUGAAGGAGGCAGAACCUGUGAAUGUGACAAAACCUUCACCACACAAGCUGCUGGUUCUAGGAGGAAGUGGUUUCGUUGGAUCACACGUUUGCAAAGAGGCUUUGGACAAAGGUUUAGUUGUCUCUAGUCUUAAUAGAUCGGGAAAGCCAUCCUUAAAUGAACCUUGGGCUGACAAAGUUAUAUGGAACCAAGGCAACCUCCUUGAACCAGCUUCAUUGAAGGAUGCUAUGGAUAAUGUUUCUGCAGUGGUAUCUUGUGUCGGAGGUUUUGGAUCAAAUUCAUUCAUGUAUAAGAUUAAUGGGACUGCAAACAUCAAUGCCAUCAGGGCUGCAGCUGAGAAAGGUGUAAAGAGAUUUGUAUAUGUGUCAGCUGCAGACUUUGGAUUAGUGAAUUAUUUAUUGCAAGGCUAUUACGAGGGCAAGAGGGCUUCUGAAGCUGAAUUGUUGUCAAAGUUUACAUAUGGAGUCCUGGACUCCUAAUUGCCGGCGGCUACAGCACCCUGCGUCCCCUGCCCCUUCUCCUGCAGUCCUGCUCGCCUGCUGCACUGCUGCAGUCUCCAACCGGCGGUGGCUGCGAACCAGUGACGAGAUGAGCACGUCAUCUGAAGGAGUGAUACUGAGGCCUGGUUUUAUUCAUGGAACUCGUCGAGUGGGCAGUGUAAAGAUACCUCUUGGUCUUGUCGGUUCUCCUAUGCAGAUGGUGCUCCAAAAUAUAAAACCUUUGACUAGGUUACCACUUAUCGGGCCGCUAUUGACUCCUCCCGUCAGUGCUGCCUCCGUGGGGAAGGUCGCUGUGAGAGCAGCGACGGAUCCGGUGUUUCCUCCUGGCAUCGUUGAUGUCUACGGGAUCAUGCGUUACAGCGAGCAAAACUAAGCUGCCUCAUUCACCGGGCAGUAUAUACAUGCCGCUGUACUUUUGUUACAGCUGUUUCUUUGUUUGUUUUACAUGUACUGGUAUCCUUCUUUAACUCACUUGUUUACGAGACGAUAAACAUUCAAUAAAUAUGUAUUUUAGCGACA